Long non-coding RNA from Cercocebus atys (sooty mangabey), 785 nucleotides. RefSeq lists it as uncharacterized. Lineage: Eukaryota; Metazoa; Chordata; Mammalia; Primates; Cercopithecidae. The transcript has 4 exons. The record is from RefSeq and is a predicted model, not a curated record.
CUGGAGAUGAACGUGGAGUUACUGUUUCCAGUCACAUUUCCUGCCGGGAGAGGAAGGGAGAACACGGGGAGGAUGGACCUCAAACCCUUUUGCAACAGAUUAGUUGUUCACAUCAGAGAGUUCACAUCUGAUCUGCGAUGGUGACAUCAAUAGGUCACCGUGUUGGCAGCUGUAUAAUCAGAUUCAGGGCCAAUGAACCAUAUCUGCCUUUAUGAGAUUUAGCUGAAAGUGAUAUGCAAGGUGGUAAAUGGCAUUCUAACAAGAGUGUGAAGAAAGAGCGAGAAGGCUGUCCUCUGCUGGAGGGGAAGAAAGGAGAGGAGGUAAGUUUGGAUAGGAAAAUCUUUUUCUAUACUCUCAGAAUGGAAAUGGAUGGUCAACAGCAGUCAUUUCAGGAGAGAGUGGGACCAGGGAUGGAGAUGGAGGACAGGGGAGGAUGACGGGUCAGGUAGGUCUUCACUGUCCCGUGUUCCUGGCUCCCAGGUGAUGGCCUUGGAGAGUCUAUGCUGCUAGGAUGAACCAGGUCACCUGUGCUCUGUCAUUUCUGCCUCCUCUGCCCAGGACACUGGGUGAGCCCAGGGCAGUCAGUGCCAGCCCUUCCAUGCCCCUCCUUCUUCAGCUCCCUAGAGCAGACCAAAGAACUGGGAGGCUGAGAGUGACUUGGGGGAACAAACAAGAUACAGUGGUCUUGUGUUCAUCUAUUUAUUCCUCAAUGGAUGAAUGAAUGAAUGUAUAAGCAUCCAUUCACUUAACAUUUUGAGAUACUAGAAAGAUUAGGCUACGAGAAU